GGCCGGUUAGCUCAGCUGGUCAAAGCGUGGUGCUGAUAACACCAAGGUCAAGGGUUUAGUCCCCUUACUGGCCA
Non-coding RNA from Galeopterus variegatus (Sunda flying lemur), 74 nucleotides. The record is from the annotation of a RefSeq genome assembly. NCBI's taxonomy places the organism in Eukaryota, Metazoa, Chordata, Mammalia, Dermoptera, Cynocephalidae.